This 406-nucleotide ribosomal RNA is filed under the name uncultured bacterium. RNAcentral's name for it is "partial 16S ribosomal RNA". It matches the Rfam family "Bacterial small subunit ribosomal RNA", at positions 30 to 526 of the family's 1533-position model. The record is from RNAcentral.
AUUGAACGCUGGCGGCAGGCCUAACACAUGCAAGUCGAGCGCCCGGCGGACGGGUGAGUAUUGUCUGGGAAACUGCUCGUUGGAGGUGGCUAACUACAGGAAACGCUAGCUAUUACCGCAUCCCAUCAGCUCUUCCCCGAUGGGAUUAGCUAGUAGGUGGGGUAACGGCUCACCCAGGCGACGAUCCCUAGCUGGUCUGAGAGGAUGACCAGCCACACUGGAACUGAGACACGGUCCAGACUCCUACGGGAGGCAGCAGUGGGGAAUAUUGCACAAUGGGCGAAAGCCUGAUGAAGCCAUGCCGCGGGUGUGAAGAAGGCCUUCGGGUUGUAAAGCACUUUAAGCGGGGAGGCGUUACCCGCAGAAGAAGCACCGGCUAACUCCGUGCCAGCAGCCGCGGUAAUUC